Molecule: ribosomal RNA, 467 nt
Filed under: uncultured bacterium
Lineage: Bacteria
Description: partial 16S ribosomal RNA
Rfam family: Bacterial small subunit ribosomal RNA
Source: RNAcentral
GACGAACGCUGGCGGCGUGCUUAACACAUGCAAGUCGAACGGAAAGGCCUCUUUCGGGGGGUACUCGAGUGGCGAACGGGUGAGUAACACGUGAGUAACCUGCCCUUGACUUUGGGAUAACUUCAGGAAACUGGGGCUAAUACCCGAUAGGAGCUCCUGCUGCAUGGUGGGGGUUGGAAAGUUUCGGCGGUUGGGGAUGGACUCGCGGCUUAUCAGCUUGUUGGUGGGGUAGUGGCUUACCAAGGCUUUGACGGGUAGCCGGCCUGAGAGGGUGACCGGCCACAUUGGGACUGAGAUACGGCCCAGACUCCUACGGGAGGCAGCAGUGGGGAAUAUUGCACAAUGGGUGGAAGCCUGAUGCAGCAACGCCGUGUGCGGGAUGACGGCCUUCGGGUUGUAACCCGCUUUCGCUCAUGACGAAGCUUUGUGUGACGGUAGUGGGUAAAGAAGCACCGGCUAACUACGUG